GACGAACGCUGGCGGCGUGCCUAAUACAUGCAAGUCGAGCGGAUGACGGAGGAGCUUGCUCCUCCUGAUUCAGCGGCGGACGGGUGAGUAACACGUGGGCAACCCGCCCUGUAGAUUGGGAUAACUCCGGGAAACCGGGGCUAAUACCGAAUAAUCCUUCGGACCUCAUGGUCCGAUGUUGAAAGACGGUUUCGGCUGUCACUACAGGAUGGGCCCGCGGCGCAUUAGCUAGGUGGUGAGGUAACGGCUCACCAAGGCCACGAUGCGUAGCCGACCUGAGAGGGUGAUCGGCCACACUGGGACUGAGACACGGCCCAGACUCCUACGGGAGGCAGCAGUAGGGAAUCUUCCACAAUGGACGAAAGUCUGAUGGAGCAACGCCGCGUGAGUGAAGAAGGUUCUCGGAUCGUAAAACUCUGUUGUGAGGGAAGAACAAGUACCGGAGUAACUGCCGGUGCCUUGACGGUACCUCAUUAGAAAGCCACGGCUAACUACGUGCCAGCCGCCGCAGUAA
RNAcentral lists this ribosomal RNA (514 nucleotides) under uncultured bacterium. Its description in RNAcentral is "partial 16S ribosomal RNA". It matches the Rfam family "Bacterial small subunit ribosomal RNA", at positions 28 to 523 of the family's 1533-position model. The record is from RNAcentral.